This is a non-coding RNA of Oryza sativa Japonica Group (Japanese rice), 1734 nucleotides long. Lineage: Eukaryota; Viridiplantae; Streptophyta; Magnoliopsida; Poales; Poaceae. The record is from RefSeq and is a predicted model, not a curated record.
CACUGGCGAGCAAGGCGAAGUGGCUAGCUUGGGUGCCUUGCUUGCCGAUGAUGGGUUGUGAUGCUCUUCACGAGGAGGCUGGAGAACUCCUGCAAGAGCUGCUGCGUCGGGAGGAGGGACCUUGAGCCGCGGAGAUGCCACGCGCCCUGCUGCAGCUGCCACGUCGACGCCGCGCCCGCCGGUGGCGACGGCUGGUGGUGGAGGUGGUGGUGGUUGUGCUGCUGCUACUGCUGCAUCAGCAGCGACGUCGCCGCCUCCGGCCUGUGGAGCGAGAGGGACAGCCGCCGUCGCCGAGCGCGCCCACACCCUUACUCUGCUCGUGCGCGUUCUCCGCCGUCGUCGGCAUGAGCCCCCUACCAUCUUUGGCCGCCGCGGAGCUCCGCCGUGCUUCUCAAAGGAGCGUGUCGCUCCGCCAUCUUGGCAGCUUCCUCUUCCUCACCAUGGCAGCAGCAACUGCUACUGCCGCUUCGACGUCACUGCCGCCACCUCCGGUUGCUCGGAUGACGACGACAACGGCGAGGAAUAAAUAGCAGGACAGGGUCUUGGAUUAUGGAGAAAUUUUCGGUUUUUUUCCACCCACACCACAAGCACUGCCACAAAGGUCCAAGAGCCCAAAUUCGACUUCCUGCUAUUUGGUCCCUGAUCCUGUUCUUGCGUGGGGAACCCUGCAGACCGAUGACACCCUGUACCCACUGAGCUCGGGGUCUCGCGUCUCAUGUCAAGAAGAAUAAUGGAGGUAAGAUUUCGCACGCCGCCUCUCCAUAACAUCUUCUUGUCUUCGAUCUGUCCAGGUGGAUCGUGUCUAAAGAAAACAAUUUUGUUUGACCUUCGUCCAUCGACAUAUUGGAGGAACUGCUCAUCUUCACGCGCGCCCGCCGACGGCCACCCCUGGGUCUGUCUCGUCACCGACGUUGCCCUCCGGGCCUGCGCUGCUGCUGGAAAGCCCGCCGAAGUGGACCGUCGGCAGCAACACGUCUCCAUCAUCGACGCCGCCGCCGCCACGCCCACACCCUUACUCCCCUCGUGCGCGUGCGCCGCCGUCGCUGGCAUGAGCCCCCCUCACCCAUCUUUGGCUGCCGCAGAGCUCCGCCGUGCUUCCCCACUGCGGCCGCCGUCGCGGCGUCGCCCUUCUCUCCCGCCUCGCCCAGGCGGGCUCCUCCCUAGCCACCGGCUGAGAGAAGAGAAGAGUGAGAGAGAGGAGGAAGGGAGAGAGAUGACGUGGCAUCCUGACAUGUGGGGCUCACGUGGGUCUCACGCUGACUCGGCCACCGCGUAGGAUAAAACUGGGGUCAAAACCACCAAAGGAUCAUUGCGAUCGGUUUUGAUUAAUUAAGAGACACUAGAUAUCUGGUUUUAUAGUUGGGGGACGACGUUGUUACUCGAUGACAAGUUGAGGGACCUUGCGUGCACUUUUUCCCCACUGAAGGUACCGGAGAAAAUUCUUGUAUUCCAAGGCCUAAACCGUGUUAGAAUCACAGGCCUUUUAACAACCGGAGGAUAGCCCAUUCCGCUGUUUUGGUCACCUCCCGCACAGAUCAUGGUGGAUUCAACUUUCACUUCUUCACUAAGUAGCCGGCUACGCUACUGUGGCAUUGCUCGCAGGCUGUGUAGGGUUGUUCAGUUUGGUACCACUUUCCACCUUAGCAGUUUUUCGUAUUACGAAAACAUUGUAAGCUAACAAACUAAAUAUUUUAUUGCCAUUGAUACCUUACCAAAAUUUGGUAUUUCUAGAAA